GACGAACGCUGGCGGCGUGCUUAACACAUGCAAGUCGAACGGAAAGGCCCCGCUUUUGUGGGGUGCUCGAGUGGCGAACGGGUGAGUAACACGUGAGUAACCUGCCCUUGACUUUGGGAUAACUUCAGGAAACUGGGGCUAACACCGGAUAGGAGCUCCUGCUGCAUGGUGGGGGUUGGAAAGUUUCGGCGGUUGGGGAUGGACUCGCGGCUUAUCAGCUUGUUGGUGGGGUAGUGGCUUACCAAGGCUUUGACGGGUAGCCGGCCUGAGAGGGUGACCGGCCACAUUGGGACUGAGAUACGGCCCAGACUCCUACGGGAGGCAGCAGUGGGGAAUAUUGCACAAUGGGCGGAAGCCUGAUGCAGCAACGCCGCGUGCGGGAUGACGGCCUUCGGGUUGUAAACCGCUUUCGCCUGUGACGAAGCGUGAGUGACGGUAAUGGGUAAAGAAGCACCGGCUAACUACGUGCCAGCAGCCGCGGUGAUACGUAGGGUGCGAGCGUUGUCCGGAUUUAUUGGGCGUAAAGGGCUCGUAGGUGGUUGAUCGCGUCGGAAGUGUAAUCUUGGGGCUUAACCCUGAGCGUGCUUUCGAUACGGGUUGACUUGAGGAAGGUAGGGGAGAAUGGAAUUCCUGGUGGAGCGGUGGAAUGCGCAGAUAUCAGGAGGAACACCAGUGGCGAAGGCGGUUCUCUGGGCCUUUCCUGACGCUGAGGGGCGAAAGCGUGGGGAGCGAACAGGCUUAGAUACCCUGGUAGUCCACGCUGUAAACGGUGGGUACUAGGUGUGGGGUCCAUUCCACGGGUUCCGUGCCGUAGCUAACGCUUUAAGUACCCCGCCUGGGGAGUACGGCCGCAAGGCUAAAACUCAAAGGAAUUGGCGGGGCCCCGCACAAGCGGCGGAGCAUGCGGAUUAAUUCGAUGCAACGCGUAGAACCUUACCUGGGUUUGACAUGGAUCGGGAGUGCUCAGAGAUGGGUGUGCCUCUUUUGGGGUCGGUUCACAGGUGGUGCAUGCCUGUCGUCAGCUCGUGUCGUGAGAUGUUGGGUUAAGUCCCGCAACGAGCGCAACCCUUGUUCACUGUUGCCAGCACGUUAUGGUGGGGACUCAGUGGAGACCGCCGGGGUCAACUCGGAGGAAGGUGGGGAUGACGUCAAGUCCUCAUGCCCCUUAUGUCCAGGGCUUCACGCAUGCUACAAUGGCUGGUACAGAGAGUGGCGAGCCUGUGAGGGUGAGCGAAUCUCGGAAAGCCGGUCUCAGUUCGGAUUGGGGUCUGCAACUCGACCUCAUGAAGUCGGAGUCGCUAGUAAUCGCAGAUCAGCAACGCUGCGGUGAAUAAAUUCCCGGGGCU
RNAcentral lists this ribosomal RNA (1346 nucleotides) under uncultured bacterium. RNAcentral's name for it is "bacterial SSU rRNA". It matches the Rfam family "Bacterial small subunit ribosomal RNA", at positions 28 to 1381 of the family's 1533-position model. The record is from RNAcentral.